GACGAACGCUGGCGGCGUGCUUAACACAUGCAAGUCGAACGGAAAGGCCCUGCUUUUGUGGGGUGCUCGAGUGGCGAACGGGUGAGUAACACGUGAGUAACCUGCACUUGACUUUGGGAUAACUUCAGGAAACUGGGGCUAAUACCGGAUAGGAGCUCCUGCUGCAUGGUGGGGGUUGGAAAGUUUCGGCGGUUGGGGAUGGACUCGCGGCUUAUCAGCUUGUUGGUGGGGUAGUGGCUUACCAAGGCUUUGACGGGUAGCCGGCCUGAGAGGGUGACCGGCCACAUUGGGACUGAGAUACGGCACAGACUCCUACGGGAGGCAGCAGUGGGGAAUAUUGCACAAUGGGCGGAAGCCUGAUGCAGCAACGCCGCGUGCGGGAUGACGGGCUUCGGGUUGUAAACCGCUUUCGCCUGUGACGAAGCGUGAGUGACGGUAAUGGGUAAAGAAGCACCGGCUAACUACGUG
RNAcentral lists this ribosomal RNA (468 nucleotides) under uncultured bacterium. RNAcentral's name for it is "partial 16S ribosomal RNA". It matches the Rfam family "Bacterial small subunit ribosomal RNA", at positions 28 to 507 of the family's 1533-position model. The record is from RNAcentral.